Molecule: unclassified non-coding RNA, 359 nt
Filed under: Hevea brasiliensis (rubber tree)
Lineage: Eukaryota; Viridiplantae; Streptophyta; Magnoliopsida; Malpighiales; Euphorbiaceae
Source: RNAcentral
GAGAUGUUUGAAUUGAAACUCUUUGUAAAACUACAAUUCCCAACUUCUCUACAUCCCAAAUCAUUCCUACCCAAAUUCACCUGAGAACUUCCCAUCACUGAAACCUCCAUAAUUUUCCUCUGAAACUGAAAUAUAACCAGAAAAAUUUGGGCGUUUUGUCAGAUAAACAAAUUCUUGACAAUCAGCAAAAGGAGAAUUUCAAGUAAUUUGGUAAACUGAAGGAUUUAGUGCAAAAAAAUUGAAGAAAUUAUACAAAAAUUUGAGAUUCAAUCGCAUCUGGGACCAGUUUUUAUAAUAAUUAAGAAAGAAACCAAUAGAAAUAGUGCUAGCUGAAUAAGCCACGUGUCAUCUUCACAGUU